This 72-nucleotide transfer RNA is filed under the name Hordeum vulgare. RNAcentral describes it as "tRNA-OTHER". The record is from RNAcentral. Lineage: Eukaryota; Viridiplantae; Streptophyta; Magnoliopsida; Poales; Poaceae.
GUAGAGGUAGCGUAGUGGUAGAGUGCGCGUCUGUGAUGUAGGAGGUCGUGGGUUCGAAUCCCCGGCGCCCCU